GAUGAAGGACGUAGUGAAAUGCGAUAAGUAAUGUGAAUUGCAGAAUUCAGUGAAUCAUCGAAUCUUUGAACGCACAUUGCGCCCGCCAGUAUUCUGGCGGGCAUGCCUGUCCGAGCGUCAUUUCAACCAUCAAGCCCCGGGCUUGUGUUGGGGACCUGCGUCCGACGCAGGCCCUGAAAACCAGUGGCGGGCUCGCUGUCCACACCGAGCGUAGUAACUAACCUCGCUAUGGAGUGGCGCGGGCGCCUGCCGUAAAACCCCCAAUUUCACAAGGUUGACCUCGGAUCAGGUAGGAAUACCCGCUGAACUUAAGCAUAUCAAUAAGCGGAGGA
Molecule: unclassified non-coding RNA, 332 nt
Filed under: soil metagenome
Description: partial contains 5.8S ribosomal RNA, internal transcribed spacer 2, and large subunit ribosomal RNA
Rfam family: 5.8S ribosomal RNA (bases 1-120)
Source: RNAcentral